UGGGGAAUCUUGGACAAUGGGGGCAACCCUGAUCCAGCCAUGCCGCGUGAGUGAUGAAGGCCUUAGGGUCGUAAAGCUCUUUCGCCUGUGAAGAUAAUGACGGUAGCAGGUAAAGAAACCCCGGCUAACUCCGUGCCAGCAGCCGCGGUAAUACGGAGGGGGUUAGCGUUGUUCGGAAUUACUGGGCGUAAAGCGCACGUAGGCGGACCAGAAAGUUGGGGGUGAAAUCCCGGGGGCUCAACCCCGGAACUGCCUCCAAAACUAUUGGUCUAGAGUUCGAGAGAGGUGAGUGGAAUUCCAAGUGUAGAGGUGAAAUUCGUAGAUAUUUGGAGGAACACCAGUGGCGAAGGCGGCUCACUGGCUCGAUACUGACGCUGAGGUGCGAAAGUGUGGGGAGCAAACAGGAUUAGAUACCCUGGUAGUCCACACCGUAAAACGAUGAAUGCCAGUCGUCGGGUAGCAUGCUAUUCGGUGACACACCUAACGGAUUAAGCAUUCCGGCCUGGGGAGUACGGUCGCAAGGUU
RNAcentral lists this ribosomal RNA (525 nucleotides) under uncultured bacterium. Its description in RNAcentral is "bacterial SSU rRNA". It matches the Rfam family "Bacterial small subunit ribosomal RNA", at positions 355 to 895 of the family's 1533-position model. The record is from RNAcentral.